CAGUAGCCACGGUAAUACGAAGGGGGCUAGCGUUGUUCGGAAUUACUGGGCGUAAAGCGCACGUAGGCGGAUAUUUAAGUCAGGGGUGAAAUCCCAGAGCUCAACUCUGGAACUGCCUUUGAUACUGGGUAUCUUGAGUAUGGAAGAGGUAAGUGGAAUUCCGAGUGUAGAGGUGAAAUUCGUAGAUAUUCGGAGGAACACCAGUGGCGAAGGCGGCUUACUGGUCCAUUACUGACGCUGAGGUGCGAAAGCGUGGGGAGCAAACAGGAUUAGAUACCCCGGUAGUCCCUGUCUCUUAUAC
Molecule: ribosomal RNA, 301 nt
Filed under: uncultured bacterium
Lineage: Bacteria
Description: partial 16S ribosomal RNA
Rfam family: Bacterial small subunit ribosomal RNA
Source: RNAcentral